RNAcentral lists this long non-coding RNA (443 nucleotides) under Homo sapiens (human). RNAcentral's name for it is "non-protein coding lnc-ARL6IP6-1:1". Lineage: Eukaryota; Metazoa; Chordata; Mammalia; Primates; Hominidae. The record is from RNAcentral.
GAUUCUCUCUUUGUGCCACAAGACUGCUGCAGAAGGAUGGGGGAGUGGUUGUAUAGAUAAAUGUUCAUUUUGGUGUUCCUGUGCAGAAGAUUAUUACUAGAGGCUUCUAUUCAGCUAUUUUGCUCUACCUCCUCUUCCAGAACAAGGUUUCUUGAGAUGGAAUCUGUUUCUGAUGAAGAUGCUAUGAGUAUUGUUGAAAUGACAACAAAGGAUCUAGAAUAUUACAUAAACUUAGUUGAUAAAAUGGCAGCAAUAUUUGAGAGGAGUGACUUCAAUUUUGAAAGAAGAUCUAGUGUGGGUAAAAUGCUACUAAAAAGCAUCACAUACCCUCAGAUGGUCGUUAACAAUUUUUUUUCAAUAAAGUAUUCUUGAAGAUAUGUACUUAUUUUAGACACAACACUAUUGCACACUUAAUAAACUGUAGUGUAAAUGUAGCUUUUAUA